GACGAACGCUGGCGGCGUGCCUAAUACAUGCAAGUAGAACGCUGAAGAGAGGAGCUUGCUCUUCUUGGAUGAGUUGCGAACGGGUGAGUAACGCGUAGGUAACCUGCCUUGUAGCGGGGGAUAACUAUUGGAAACGAUAGCUAAUACCGCAUAACAAUGGAUUACACAUGUCAUUUAUUUGAAAGGGGCAAUUGCUCCACUACAAGAUGGACCUGCGUUGUAUUAGCUAGUAGGUGAGGUAAUGGCUCACCUAGGCGACGAUACAUAGCCGACCUGAGAGGGUGAUCGGCCACACUGGGACUGAGACACGGCCCAGACGCCUACGGGAGGCAGCAGUAGGGAAUCGUCGGCAAUGGGGGCAACCCUGACCGAGCAACGCCGCGUGAGGGAAGAAGGUUGUCGGAUCGUAAAGCUCUGUUGUAAGUCAAGAACGGGUGUGAGAGUGGAAAGUUCACACUGUGACGGUAGCUUACCAGAAAGGGACGGCUAACUACGUG
This 497-nucleotide ribosomal RNA is filed under the name uncultured bacterium. RNAcentral describes it as "partial 16S ribosomal RNA". It matches the Rfam family "Bacterial small subunit ribosomal RNA", at positions 28 to 507 of the family's 1533-position model. The record is from RNAcentral.